Long non-coding RNA from Prosopis cineraria, 301 nucleotides. RefSeq lists it as uncharacterized. The record is from RefSeq and is a predicted model, not a curated record. NCBI's taxonomy places the organism in Eukaryota, Viridiplantae, Streptophyta, Magnoliopsida, Fabales, Fabaceae. The transcript is spliced from 2 exons.
GCGUGAGCUUCGGCAGAGAGAGCAUCUGUGAGCCAAAUUCACCGGUGCUGGGUUUUAAGAUUGUAUUACUGGUGAAGAUUGUGGAGAGAGAGAAAUUUUAAGGAAUAAUUUAUUGAAAAAGCCACAAGGAGAAGAGCCAAGAGUGACACGUGGAGGAGUCCCAGAGGCUUAGUGGUAUAGAUCCACUGUCUCUUUUGGGUAUUUAAUUUAUGAUUUAUAAUGUAUUAUAUUGCCAAUAUUAGGGCUUUUUGUUUAUUGUCAAUUAUAUGAAUAUAUAAAUGUAAUCAUGCCUUUCAAACUA